Molecule: ribosomal RNA, 468 nt
Filed under: uncultured bacterium
Lineage: Bacteria
Description: partial 16S ribosomal RNA
Rfam family: Bacterial small subunit ribosomal RNA
Source: RNAcentral
GACGAACGCUGGCGGCGUGCUUAACACAUGCAAGUCGAACGGAAAGGCCCUGCUUGCGUGGUAUUCUCGAGUGGCGAAGGUGUGUGUAACACGUGAGUAACCUGCCCUUGACUUGGGGAUAACUUCAGGAAACGGGGGCUAAUACCGGAUAGGAGCUCCUGCUGCAUGUUGGUGGUUGGAUAUUUUCGGCGGGUGGGGAUUGACUGCCGGCUUACCGGCUUGUUGGUGGGGUAGUGGCUUACAAAGGCUUUGACGGGUGGCCGGCCUGGGGGGGUGACCGGCCACAUUGGGACUGGGAUACGGCCAGGACUCCUACGGGAGGAAGCAGUGGGGAAUAUGGCACAAUGGGCGGAAGCCUGAUGCAGCAAGCCCGCGUGCGGGAUGACGGCCUUCGGGUUGUAAACCGCUUUCGCCUGUGACGAAGCGUGAGUGACGGUAAUGGGUAAAGAAGCACCGGCUAACUACGUG